Molecule: long non-coding RNA, 3167 nt
Organism: Pyrus x bretschneideri (Chinese white pear)
Lineage: Eukaryota; Viridiplantae; Streptophyta; Magnoliopsida; Rosales; Rosaceae
Exons: 2
Source: RefSeq, a predicted model, not a curated record
GUCAGCCAUAGUGUUGUUUACAUGUGCGUGUUGGGGUGGGUGAGUGUGACCGUGUGUGCGUUUGAGAGAGAGAGAGAGAGAGAAUGAGAGAGAGGAGAGACUGCUUAGUAUUAUCUCUCACAAAUCCUUUCUUGGUUAUCUUCGUGAUUAUCUUAUGGUGAAAAAUCUCCUGAAAGAAGAAAGGUGACCACCCUCUCUCCUCUCUCGCCUGCGUUAGAUUUGCUUAGAUCUUGAGUCGCUUUCCUGUGUCUGACUCUCAUAUGGCCAUGGCGACAAUGACCCAUCAUUUGCUUUUGCCUUGGACAUAUUAAAACUCUCUCUCUCUUCUCUGCAAAUCCCUUUUCUUCUUCACCUGCCAGGAAAAUAAUAUGGAUUAGGGUUUUGAACAACGCCUCUAAUUACUUAGAUUCUAGGGUUUCGUAGUAGUCUCUUCCACUAUUUUGUGCACUGUUUGUGGAUCCUAUAUUCUGCAGAUAUGGAAUACUACUAGCUGCUUGGAAGUUUCAUCACAAGUCAAUGGUUUCUUUCCUGUCUCUCUAUAUAUUGAUGCUGAUGUUGGUUUCAUUGAUUUGAGUGCUUCGUAGUGAAAGUGGUGCACAGUAGCACUAGUUGCAGUUACAUGGUGGGUUUAAUUUCCAUGAGCUUAAUUUAUUGGUUUCUAUGAAUGUCAGAAAGCAACUUACCGUACGACGGAUUGAAGGAGUGAAUGUGUAGGCCAGUAGAAAUUAAAAUGUUGCAUGGUGGGUUUUGCUUUAUUAAUUGAUACAAAAUUACUAUGCAAUACAUCAAUUAGGUCUAAAGUUACAUGGUGAAUAAUGAAGAAAUGGUGAGAGAGAGCUUUCCUCAGUCCACACAUGGAUAGGAUUUGAUAGGGUUGUCGAAGUAGCUGCCGACUCAUUCACUCAAGCACUCAGUAGAGAUUAAAGGAGUAUCCGGCUUGUCUUAUUACUUUCCUUCAUUCCUGCUGCACAUACAUAUGUUGCUCUCAGAUGUGGCACUUCCAGACCGGACUAGAAGCGACUGCAGAUGGACCGUCAUCGGAUGUGGGACUUGUGCCUUUCCGAAAUCAUCAGACAAUUUGCUACUGUGGUUGUGUGAAUGAUGCGGGAGAUAUUUUACAUCCCUCUUUCUCUGCGCUUGGACUGAAGGGAGCUCCUCCUUUCCAUUCUCUCCACUUUUCUCCAUACUUUAGUUAAGGUUUAGCUGCCAAAAUUUUAAUUAGUUUCAUAUGCUUAUAUAUCAGUUAAAAGAGUUGAUCAUUAUCAUCGUCAUUCUUUCCCAUAUCUUACGUGCUAAAGUUAAGUGAUGAUUAACCAUUUGAUAUUCUCUCGCAAGAAAUACUGUUAGCAACUGUCAAUCUGACCCGUAGAUUAGGUGGUCUCUUGUUGAAAAGUGUUGUAGUUCAAAUUUAUAGUUUGGCAAGUAAAUUGUUGGAUGUAUACAGCAGGCAGAUUCUCUGCCUUCCCACUUCCCGUGCCCUCCUCCUGUGCUCUCUAUUUGUGUGGUCACGGUUAAACUAUGUCAACAUUUUAUAUUAUUAUUUAUUUUUAUCUUAUUAUCUCUAUAAAAAAAUAAUAUAAAAUGUUGACAUAGUUUAACCGUAACUACACAAAACAGGAGAGCAUGAAAAAUGAGAAGGUAGAGAAUCUGCCUCCAUGUAUACAUGCACUUGUUUUGUUUCAAUAGUAAAAAGCCCGUCCUGAAUUUUGGACUGGGAUCACCUAAUCCCAGCUUUUAGAGCAAACUAAGCAAAGCAUUCUAUCCUUUCAUUUUUAUCUUGCUUUGUUUUGCGUGAGAAUUUUUAAAUAUUUAAAUUUAUUUUUGGCCAUAGUAUCAAAAAUGAAAGAAUGAGAUGUUUUGCUUAGUUUGCUUUCGAGAGUAAGAUCCGGAGAUGAUCCCAGUUGCUGAACUUCAUGGGUUCUACUUUCUAGUAGGUGUACUCUAGCUAGGACUAAUGACCAUGCAUAUGAAGAAGGGGCCUACGUCGAGUGCCUUCUCUUGUCCAUUGAGUUGAUCACAGCUUUCCCAUUGUCCUCCUGUAAUCAGUUUACCCAGUCCCCUUCAUUUCCUCUGCUUUUUUCACCCGACAAGAAAAUCUUGGGCAGGUGCUUUUAUCUCUAUUUACCUUCCCAUUUUUCUAGAUAAUGUUUUCAGUCAGUAACUUUUCCCUUUUCCUCAUGUACUUCAAAGUUCAGAUCAUGUGCAUGCCGUGCCAGUAACAUGCAGCAGCAUCAAGUACCAUGCUUGCACUCACCAUUCAUAACAUUUCACUGAAAAUUUUCCAUGAAACUGUGCUCUUUUUCUAAGGUUACAAAAAACUGCGUUUUCUGCAAUAUUGGCCAAGCAUUGCUCUGCUUAUUUGUGUCUGUGUGUGUGUAGGUAUACACGUAUUAUAUAUAUAUAUAUAUAUGUAUAUUUGAGGCAGAAGGCCUCGAUUCUCAUUCCUGCAUUGCAUGUGUUCAUCGAAAGACGUACCUUUUGUCACAUUUUUAACUUCAUCUGGAGUUGAGCCGUCCGGUCUUCUAUGCUGUCUUGUCUUUCGUUGAUUUAUUAUUAAUUUUUAAUUACAGCGAUUUAUCUAGUAAUAUCAGAUGCUUAAUCCGUACUUAACCAGAUACUUUAAAAAUAAUUGCCAUAUUUGUGGAACAAGUAAGGAAAUUAAAGCCAGCAUUUUAUAUAUUCGAAUCAAAGCUUUGUUGGAGUUGGGUCUGUAUUUUUUAGUUAUUUCUGGAACUGGACGGUGAGUGGUGUUUAAAGUUUGAUUAUGUGGCGAUGUGAUGACUGUAUAUUUCCAUAUUUGGAACGAAUGGAGUUCAUUCCUUAAGUCCUCUUUUGGAAAUCAGCUUUCGUUUUAAGGAAAAUUGCUGAGACAAGCUUGGAGUGCGUCCACUAGCAUCUGUAGAAUGUGCUGCAGACUGAACUAGGUUGUUUUAUCAUUGUGAUCCUUUUAUUAUUUAUUUUUCUUUUCAGGAGUUUCAAGUUCCAAUGUGGUUGAUGCAGCUCCAGUACUGUACUUCAUUAGGAUCAGUUCAAAUUUAUUGUUUUAUUAUUGACUAUAAUUUAAGUUUCGUAAGAAAUGUGAAGGAGAUUUUUUUCAAUAGUGUAAUACUUCAUGGACUCUUUGUAAUUUUAUAAUAUAAUGUUAAUUUCGUGCUAACAUUAUAAAA